GGAGGGUGCAAGCGUUAAUCGGAAUUACUGGGCGUAAAGGGUGCGUAGGUGGUUUAUUAAGGUUGUCUGUGAAAUACCCGGGGCUUAACCUGGGGGAGGGUCAGAUAAGACUGGUAGACUUGAGUAUGGGAGAGGGUAGUGGAAUUUCCGGUGUAGCGGUGAAAUGCGUAGAUAUCGGAAGGAACACCAGUGGCGAAGGCGACUACCUGGCCUGAUACUGACACUGAGGCACGAAAGCGUGGGGAGCAAACAGGAUUAGAUACCCUGGUAGUCCACGCUGUAAACGAUGUCAACUAGCCGUUGGUCACAUGAAAGUGAUUAGUGGCGCAGCCAACGCGAUAAGUUGACCGCCUGGGGAGUACGGUCGCAAAGAUUAA
Molecule: ribosomal RNA, 377 nt
Filed under: uncultured organism
Description: partial 16S ribosomal RNA
Rfam family: Bacterial small subunit ribosomal RNA
Source: RNAcentral